AAGUCGUAACAAGGUUUCCGUAGCUGCAAGUUAUGGAAUGAUCCUUUCGCAAAUUCACUUGCUGAAGCCUUAGCAGCCAGAAAUGGUUCACUGCGACUAUAAACAAAAGUGUGUGCUAGUCUAGUUAUUACUAGGCAACAUUGUCAAAUUGCGGGGAUGCCCUGUCAAAUUCAAGACUACCGCGGCCGCAUUGAAAGAUGCGGUGCAGCACCCGGUUAAUGGCCGUGGGGAAGGUAACAACGUCUUGACUGGGGUAAUCCGCAUCCAAGCGCUAA
Molecule: unclassified non-coding RNA, 275 nt
Filed under: Serendipitaceae sp.
Lineage: Eukaryota; Fungi; Basidiomycota; Agaricomycetes; Sebacinales; Serendipitaceae
Description: partial contains internal transcribed spacer 1
Source: RNAcentral